This 362-nucleotide ribosomal RNA is filed under the name uncultured bacterium. RNAcentral describes it as "partial 16S ribosomal RNA". It matches the Rfam family "Bacterial small subunit ribosomal RNA", at positions 338 to 697 of the family's 1533-position model. The record is from RNAcentral.
CCUACGGGAGGCUGCAGUGAGGAAUAUUGGUCAAUGGCCGGAAGGCUGAACCAGCCAUGCCGCGUGAAGGUCAGUGCCUCAUGGGCGUUAAACUUCUUUUGUGCGGGAGCAAUAAUGGUCACGUGUGGCCAGACGAGAGUACCGUACGAAUAAGCAUCGGCUAACUCCGUGCAAGCAGCCGCGGUCAUACGGGGGAUGCAAGCGUUAUCCGGAUUUAAUGGGUUUAAAGGGUGCGUAGGCUGUGAGGUAAGUCAGCGGGGAAAUGCCCCCGCUCAACGGGGUGAAGUGCCAUUGAUACUGCCUUGCUGGAAUGCAGAUGCGGUGAGAGGAAUGUGUGGUGUAGCGGUGAAAUGCGUAGAUAU